RNAcentral lists this ribosomal RNA (305 nucleotides) under uncultured bacterium. RNAcentral describes it as "bacterial SSU rRNA". It matches the Rfam family "Bacterial small subunit ribosomal RNA", at positions 335 to 658 of the family's 1533-position model. The record is from RNAcentral.
GGCCUACGGGGGGCAGCAGUGGGGAAUAUUGCACAAUGGGGGAAACCCUGAUGCAGCGACGCCGCGUGAGCGAAGAAGUAUUUCGGUAUGUAAAGCUCUAUCAGCAGGGAAGAAAAUGACGGUACCUGAGUAAGAAGCUCCGGCUAAAUACGUGCCAGCAGCCGCGGUAAUACGUAUGGAGCAAGCGUUAUCCGGAUUUACUGGGUGUAAAGGGAGCGCAGGCGGCGCGGCAAGUCAGAUGUGAAAGCCCGGGGCUCAACCCCGGGACUGCAUUUGAAACUGCCGGGCUAGAGUAUCGGAGAGGG